AAAGUCGUAACAAGGUUUCUGUAGGUGAACCUGCAGAAGGAUCAUUAGUGAAUAUUAGGGCGUCUCUUUGAAGAGCCCGAAACCCACUUCUAACACUCACCGUGAACAAGUAAACAAACCUUUAAACAAGAAGUCUUAGUAAAAUGUCACUGCGCAAGCAGCUAUAAACCAAUAAAACUUUCAACAACGGAUGUCUUGGCUCUC
Molecule: unclassified non-coding RNA, 204 nt
Filed under: Basidiomycota sp.
Lineage: Eukaryota; Fungi; Basidiomycota
Description: partial contains small subunit ribosomal RNA, internal transcribed spacer 1, and 5.8S ribosomal RNA
Rfam family: Eukaryotic small subunit ribosomal RNA (bases 1-47)
Source: RNAcentral